This 66-nucleotide transfer RNA is filed under the name Streptococcus suis. RNAcentral's name for it is "tRNA-Met". It matches the Rfam family "tRNA". Rfam says of the family: Transfer RNA (tRNA) molecules are approximately 80 nucleotides in length. Their secondary structure includes four short double-helical elements and three loops (D, anti-codon, and T loops). RNAcentral also lists the same sequence under 2 other names. Lineage: Bacteria; Bacillati; Bacillota; Bacilli; Lactobacillales; Streptococcaceae. The record is from RNAcentral.
CGCGGGAUGGAGUAGCUCGUCGGGCUCAUAACCCGAAGGUCGUAGGUUCAAAUCCUGCUCCCGCAA